RNAcentral lists this ribosomal RNA (542 nucleotides) under uncultured bacterium. Its description in RNAcentral is "bacterial SSU rRNA". It matches the Rfam family "Bacterial small subunit ribosomal RNA", at positions 353 to 897 of the family's 1533-position model. The record is from RNAcentral.
AGUGGGGAAUCUUGCGCAAUGGCCGAAAGGCUGACGCAGCGACGCCGCGUGUGGGAUGACGGCCUUCGGGUUGUAAACCACUGUCGGAAGGGACGAAUGGCCCGCAAGGGCAGUGACGGUACCUUCAAAGGAAGCACCGGCUAACUCCGUGCCAGCAGCCGCGGUAAUACGGAGGGUGCGAGCGUUGUCCGGAAUCACUGGGCGUAAAGGGCGCGUAGGCGGCCCGGUAAGUAGGGGGUGAAAUCUUGCGGCUUAACCGCAAGGCUGCCUUCUAGACUGCCAGGCUUGAGCACAGUAGAGGCAGGUGGAAUUCCCGGUGUAGCGGUGGAAUGCGUAGAGAUCGGGAAGAACAUCAGUGGCGAAGGCGGCCUGCUGGACUGUAGCUGACGCUGAGGCGCGACAGCGUGGGGAGCAAACAGGAUUAGAUACCCUGGUAGUCCACGCCGUAAACGAUGGGCACUAGGCGUCGGGGGGAGCGACCCUCCCGGUGCCGUCGCUAACGCAGUAAGUGCCCCGCCUGGGGAGUACGGCCGCAAGGCUGA